This 774-nucleotide ribosomal RNA is filed under the name uncultured Neocallimastigales. RNAcentral's name for it is "partial large subunit ribosomal RNA". It matches the Rfam family "Eukaryotic large subunit ribosomal RNA", at positions 26 to 628 of the family's 3401-position model. Lineage: Eukaryota; Fungi; Neocallimastigomycota; Neocallimastigomycetes; Neocallimastigales. The record is from RNAcentral.
CGCAUCUGUGCAUGCAGCAUAUCAAUAGCGGAGGAAAAGAAACUAACAAGGAUUCCCCUAGUAACGGCGAGUGAAGCGGGAAGAGCUCAAAUUUGAAAUCUUAAAGGGUUUCCCUUUACGAAUUGUAGUUUAAAGAAGUGUUUUCUGUUGAGGUUUUGGUAAAAGUUCUUUGGAAUAGGACAUCAUAGAGGGUGAGAAUCCCGUAUUUGACCUUUACUUUCAACUUUGUGAUACACUUUCAAAGAGUCGGAUUGUUUGGGAAUGCAGUCCAAAAUGGGUGGUAAAUUUCAUCUAAAGCUAAAUAUUGGCGAGAGACCGAUAGCGAACAAGUACCGUGAGGGAAAGAUGAAAAGAACUUUGAAAAGAGAGUUAAACAGUACGUGAAAUUGUCAAAAGGGAAGCGUUUGACACCAGUGUUGUUUUUCUGAAAAUCAAUUAAAGAACUGUUUAUGCUAAGUUGUUUAGACUUUAUCAGCUAAUUUGCUUAGUUUUGAGCUUUUCUUUAAUGCACUUUUCAGUUAACAAGUCAACAUCAAUUUCUUUUGCUGUAAAAAAGCUUGAGGAAGGUGGCUUGAGAUUCGUCUUAAGUGUUUAUAGCCUCUUGCCUAUGCAGUCGGAGAGAUUGAGGUCUGCAGCGUAGAUCCUUCGGGGCUAAAUGCAUUUGUGCUAAGUUAUAGCAUUUUAUAGACAACUUGUUGACUAUGAUUUGUCUUGUAGCUUACUCGCUUAUGUUAUUUUACCUACGCUUAGGAUGUUGAGUCGUAGAGCACGCAG